Molecule: transfer RNA, 77 nt
Filed under: Gammaproteobacteria bacterium
Lineage: Bacteria; Pseudomonadati; Pseudomonadota; Gammaproteobacteria
Description: tRNA-Arg
Rfam family: tRNA
About the family: Transfer RNA (tRNA) molecules are approximately 80 nucleotides in length. Their secondary structure includes four short double-helical elements and three loops (D, anti-codon, and T loops).
Source: RNAcentral
GCGCCUGUAGCUCAGGUGGACAGAGCACCGGCCUUCUAAGCCGGCGGUCGCAGGUUCGAAUCCUGCCAGGCGCGCCA